ACUCAAAUGAAUUGACGGGGGCCCGCACAAGCGGUGGAGCAUGCGGUUUAAUUCGAUGUUACGCGAAAAACCUUACCAAUCCUUGACAUGGUGGUCGCGGAGAGUGGAGACACACUCCUUCAGUUCGGCUGGACCACACACAGGUGUUGCAUGGCUGUCGUCAGCUCGUGUCGUGAGAUGUUGGGUUAAGUCCCGCAACGAGCGCAACCCUCAUCCUUAUUUGCCAGCGAGUUAUGUCGGGAACUAUAAGGAAACUGCCGGUGAUAAGCCGGAGGAAGGUGGGGACGAUGUCAAGUCAUCAUGGCCCUUAUGGAUUGGGCUACACGCGUGCUACAAUGGUAUCUACAGAGGGAAGCAAUACAGCGAUGUGGAGCAAAUCCUUAAAAGAUAUCUCAGUUCGGAUUGCACUCUGCAACUCGAGUGCAUGAAGUUGGAAUCGCUAGUAAUCGCGGAUCAGAAUGUCGCGGUGAAUACGUUCCCGGGCCUUGUACACACCGCCCGU
RNAcentral lists this ribosomal RNA (502 nucleotides) under uncultured bacterium. Its description in RNAcentral is "partial 16S ribosomal RNA". It matches the Rfam family "Bacterial small subunit ribosomal RNA", at positions 899 to 1397 of the family's 1533-position model. The record is from RNAcentral.